CUGGUGGAUCAAGAGGAGAAGGAGGAGGACAUGGUGCUGGGAUGAGGACAGUCCCCCAGCAGCACGACAGGCACGUCCUGGCCAUGCCCUGCCCCAGGGUCACCUGCUGUGUGUGCCAGGCUGGGGGCACAGGGAACACCCAGCAGGGCCCGACUGCACUGACCGUGCCCUUGCUUUUCUUCCAGGACUGACGGACACGCCGGCCAUGGAAUCGGCCACCUCUACAUAUGUUUUUCACCUUUUUCUGUAAAUAUGUUUUCUAUUGUUCACUUUUUAAGAAGCUUGUAGUUUGUAUAGAGAAGAUAGUUUAAGAAGAUAGAUUUUUAAUAAGAAGAUAAUUUUUUGAUAAGACAAGUUUUUUUAAGAACAUAAGGUU
Molecule: long non-coding RNA, 376 nt
Organism: Chiroxiphia lanceolata (lance-tailed manakin)
Lineage: Eukaryota; Metazoa; Chordata; Aves; Passeriformes; Pipridae
Exons: 3
Source: RefSeq, a predicted model, not a curated record